GAAAACUGAGAUAUAUGGGACAUGUGAUGAGAGAUGUAUAUCUAAUACUCCAGGUCAUUAUGCAAGAAAAAGAUCUAUAGUAAGGAGACGUAACUCAUGGCUGAAGAACCUUAGGAACUGGUUUGGAUGUAAUAACAAUGAAUUAUUUAGAGCCGCGGUUUCAGAAAUAAAGAUCGCUCUGAUGACUGCCAACUUUUGAAGCGGAGACAGCACCUAGAGAAGGAGAUAAAAACACAAUUAAUGGAUAGUUUUGUGUCAUUUUUUAAUGUUUCCAUAUUUAUAAAUUUAAUUAACAAUAUUGUUUACUUUUUAAUUUUAUUCCCCUUUAUAAAAAAUACCUACAUAUAUACCUACAUAUAUUGUGUAAAAAUCAAAUAUACUAAAUUACUAAUUAGUUUAAUUCCACCAGCUUUUCACCUAUGACUAAGUACGAUUCUAGCAUCUGUCAGAAUCGUCAAUAAUUACAUGAAAUAAGUCUCGACACACCCAAUACAGUAACAAGAAUCUACAGGUCGAGCAAGUCUCGUAAAUUUCACGAUUGUGCGAGCCACGCUUCACGCAACCGUGUUUGCGUACUUGUGUUUCGAGUUGCGUGGUCGUGCGGAGUUAUAUUUACCAAAUUUAAAUCCCUUCCAACAUGCUGUCAAAAUUAAAUCAAUAUGUCAAUAUGGCUACUGGGUGUAAAAGAUAAAUCUUAUUCUAUCUGUUCUUAAUGAGUUUUAGAUAAUUUUAGUUGUAUUUCUUUGUAAUUUUGUGUUGUACAAAGAUUAAUUUAACAUUUUCUCUGGAAGUGUUAAUUUAGGAAGAUAAUAUGCUUCAUUGGUGUUGUGUUUUGAAGUGUGAAAUGCAAAGUAAUUGUGAUAAAGUCAAGAUAAAAUUCACUUUUAAACUGAACUAAAUAAGGUAUCUGAGAGACAACAAUGGUUAAAUGCAAUACAAUGUACAGGUUUUACUAGCGAAACGAAAAUUUUCCUGUCCUGUCUGCUGUAAUCAUUUUAUAUCUGGAAAACCAGCCGACUUAAUCGAUAAUAACAAUCUCCAGAUUGGGUUCCUUCAAUAAAUAUGGGCUAUAAACACAAUGAAAUAAGUUCCCCAAAAUCUAAAAUGGAGUGGUAUCAAAGGAGAAUUAAAGGAAAAAAUAUUCAUAUUGAAAUUAUUUAUAAGGCACUGGACUGUCUUAAAUUCUACAAUAAUACUAGAAUCAGCUGAGAGAAGUGGUCUACAAAAAACCAGGAAGGAAACGGAAUAUGUGGCUACGAAAGGCAAAAGAAAGGUUUACAAAGCAAAUGUGACACAUUUUUUUGAAAUAUUUAGGAAUAUCAGUAAAUUGCAUUAAAAGAAUGUAUGAAAAGAUUUUGUUCAAUAAAAAUGUUUAUAUUUA
This is a long non-coding RNA of Diabrotica virgifera virgifera (western corn rootworm), 1381 nucleotides long. RefSeq lists it as uncharacterized. Lineage: Eukaryota; Metazoa; Arthropoda; Insecta; Coleoptera; Chrysomelidae. The record is from RefSeq and is a predicted model, not a curated record. The transcript has 3 exons.